GAUGAACGCUGGCGGCGUGCCUAAUACAUGCAAGUCGAGCGAACAGACGAGGAGCUUGCUCCUCUGACGUUAGCGGCGGACGGGUGAGUAACACGUGGAUAACCUACCUAUAAGACUGGGAUAACUUCGGGGAACCGGAGCUAAUACCGGAUAAUAUAUUGAACAGCAUGGUUCACUAGUUAAAGACGGUUUUGCUUUCACUUAUAGAUUGAUCCGCGCCGAAUUAGCUAGUUGGUAAGGUAACGGCUUACCCAGGCGACGAUGCGUAGCCGACCUGAGAGGGUGAUCGGCCACACGGGAACUGAGACACGGCCCAGACUCCUACGGGAGGAAGCAGUAGGGAAUCUUACGCAAUGGGCGAAAGCCUGACGGAGCAACGCCGCGUGAGUGAUGAAGGUCUUCGGAUCGUAAAACUCUGUUAUUAGGGAAGAACAAAUGUGUAAGUAACUAUGCACAUCUUGACGGUACCUAAUCAGAAAGCCACGGCUAACUACGUG
This 497-nucleotide ribosomal RNA is filed under the name uncultured bacterium. Its description in RNAcentral is "partial 16S ribosomal RNA". It matches the Rfam family "Bacterial small subunit ribosomal RNA", at positions 28 to 507 of the family's 1533-position model. The record is from RNAcentral.